GGAUGUGAGGGCGAUCUGGCUGCGAUAUCUGUCACCCCAUUGAUUGCCAGGGUUGAUUGGGCUGAUCUGGCUGGCUAGGCAAGUGUCCCCUUCCUCCCUCACCGCUCCAUGUGCGUCCCUCCCAAAGCUGUGCACUUGGUCGAAGAGGACGGCCUUCCUCGAAUAGAGAUGGACCAGUCUUCAGUAUAAGAGUUUGGAGCUCCCCUGCUAGAACCUUCAAACAAGUUCUCAAGAAUAGAGAGGCUAUCAAGGGAGGGGAUUGGAUAUGGA
Molecule: unclassified non-coding RNA, 270 nt
Organism: Erinaceus europaeus (western European hedgehog)
Lineage: Eukaryota; Metazoa; Chordata; Mammalia; Eulipotyphla; Erinaceidae
Gene: 7SK
Rfam family: 7SK RNA
About the family: 7SK was discovered as an abundant small nuclear RNA in the mid-70s but a possible function has only recently been suggested. Two independent studies have found that 7SK RNA binds the CDK9/cyclin T complex (known as elongation factor P-TEFb).
Source: Ensembl